This is a non-coding RNA of Callithrix jacchus (white-tufted-ear marmoset), 1017 nucleotides long. The record is from RefSeq and is a predicted model, not a curated record. Lineage: Eukaryota; Metazoa; Chordata; Mammalia; Primates; Cebidae.
AGGCCAGGAAGCGGCGCCGGGUACCAACGGGUUGAGCAAUUCCAAAAGCGGGAUGCAGCAUCUGCAAAUGAGGGGGAAGGGCGGCGUAAAGGACCGAGGGGAAAAUACGAGGAGGAGAAAGGAAGUAGCAGGUAUGAGCGGAGGGGGCGUAUACAGUCGGAAGGGCUCCACUGACAACUGCCUGAGGAGCACUUCUUGAAGGCACUCAGGACCAAGUUGCCAACCCCGGGCACAAUCAUUCAGGGUUUUCAGGAUCGUUCAAACGCAGCAGGCGGGGAAACGCUGGGCCUGGCUGGUCAGGCGCCAGCCCGCGGAGACCGAAGCCGUCGGGUGCCUCGAGCGAGGCAAGCCGCGCAGGGGACUCGGGGAAAGAAGGCUGCAGGCCCCACACUCACGGCAGCCGUUCCCCUUCAGAGUCCGACCACAAUCAGAGCCCCUGCCCCACCACGUUCCCGGGACCCUUCCCCACCUUUCCCCGCAGAUGACACUCGGAGCUUCCGGAAACGUCACAUCCGGCGCCCGCUCCGCCCACUCCCUCCCGUCGGUUUAUUACUCUCUCAAGGAUUUAGGACUUGGGAUGGAGAGCUAGUUGGUGGGGCGUGAAUCACCUGCUGAAAAUCUGACCAAUGAGGAGCGAACAAUGCAUCGGCCAUCUUGGUAAAGGGAAAAGGAACAGGGAAGAAGACGGAACCAAUGACCAAGCUAAGCUGGAGUUGGAAUUACCCAAUGAAAUUGUUUCUUGAGAAGGCUACUGUAAAACCAGUAAUAUGAAGGUGAAUCUGUGGUUUGGAGCUCCACCUAUAGUUUGUUUGAAGACUUGUCUCUCUCAUCGCCAAGAAAAAUUAUCACUUUGGAAAAUGAGUCCUUAUGCAUGCUUGGAAAGAUGUUUAAUGUGUAUAUAUUUCUAAAUUUAUGUUUAAAUCUGUACAUGAGGAAUCCAUUUUAUAUUAGACAUAUUUUCUUUUGUUACCUGCUUGCUAGAUGUGGACUAUAUAAUUUAUUUUCCAAUAAUUCAAA